UUUUUUUUUUUUUAUAAAAAGAUCAAUGAAAAAUUUAUUUAUAAAUUUCGCACUCUGGGGCUACACGUCUCUAUCAUACACUCAGGAAUAUGCUGUACUGUACAGACUUUAUCCAGUUAGAAAUGAUCAUAUAGUGACCCACAUACAGCUUCAAUAUAAGCCUAAAAAUCCUUAACAUUAAUUAACAUAAUUAAAAAAGGUAUUCGCAUCUAAAGAAAACUCUACAGAAAAACUCCUUUCUGGAGCAAUCUGUGCAUCAGCUUCAAUGUCUGCUUAUUCCACUGACAUUAGCAAUAUAUUCUUCUUACAAAAAUAAUAAUAAGACGACUGCUGGAAGGCACCAGUCAUGCCCGAAGGAGCCUCCCCCACCUGCCUCUUUCCUUGCUUUUCCUUGUACUCCCCGUUUUGGCGUGAAGGGUCAGCAGCACGAUGAGCCAACAAGGGGGGCGGGGGGGGGACCCUCAUUUCAAUUUGAAUCAAUCUGCAUCCCUUUUAUUUCUCAGGAUCAAGAGAGACGAGGGGGGGGUGGGGGUUGCAUAGAAAAUUGAAACUCCAGGGACUAGGAAGGGCAGCAGCUUUUCAGUAAAAUACAACAGGGAUGUAAAAAUACAUCAACUCACAAUUUCAGAGCAAACCCCCGUCCCCGACAUACAGACUCCCCAAAUCUCAGCGUGUCCAAAGCUCCAGGAGGCUGGAAAGGAACAAUACUUUUCUUCAACAACUCACCCAGCAAUUCACACAGGAGAUUCACAGUCUCAAUAGGUAUUUUAUAAAAAUAUAAAUAUGGGUUACAUCAUGUUGUCUUUACAACACUGGACAGAGCUCCCUUUAGACUGGGUUUAUAACCAAGGCUUCUUUUUAAACACUCCAUCUAGAACUUGGCUUUACAAUACACUUUUUAAUACCAUGUCAUAAAUGUUAUGACAUUUCCUUGUGGCAAAUCCAUUUAGUCAAAAUAAAAACAAAAAAUAAUAUAAAUGUGCAACCAUCUGGUAUCGACGACAAAACCUCGCUAGAAAAGAUCUUGUUCCCACCCCGUCACUGUCGCACAGAAGCACCAGUGGAGGUGCUGGACACCCCCUUCCAUGCUCACAGAGAAGACUUGGGCCAAGCAGUUCCUUGGGAAUGGCAGCAUCGGCAGCAGGCGCUUGCGACGGGGCUGCUUCUCUUCUGCUUCUUGAAAUCUGGAGCUUUUAAAAGAAUCAUCUCAAAGAGUUGAAGUGGAGAAAAACCAAACUGCAGGUGAACUCAUCGGAGACAAAGCAGGAUAUUCAGUGCAAUGGGAAAUCAUCAUGGCAGACUCAAGUGUUUUAGUUUUAAGACUAGAACAACAACAACAAGAAGAAGGCGUAUUUCCCAAACCGUAUUUCUGAAACACUCACCACCAGCUUCCAACAAAACCAGGCUCACAAUCUUCACCCACAAAUAUAUACAGACAUGAUAAAUAGUUAAGACACAACCCAAAUAAACCAGCAGGUAACUAUUUGCCUUUUUUAAUGGGAAUGGUUGGGAUGCAGGGAGCGAGAGAGGGAGGAGCGGGGAGGUGGCAGUGAGACGGAUGGCUUUAGUGCAGAUGGACAGGGCUGAAGGACCAGCGGGAGAGAGGAGACUUCGGAAAUCUUCCGCAUUUUCCAAAUGGAUGUUCUUGUGCCAUAGCAAUAAAAAGCAGCAUUUGCGAUUAUACGUGCAGUCACUUCCGAAUGCGACUUCGGGUGGCUUUCUCUUCUUCCUCCCUUUCUUUUAUAAAUAUAUAUGGAGAUAUAUAUCAUAUAAAAGACGGGUGACUCUCUACAGACAUCAAAGGAGUCGUUCUGCAUUGAGAAGUGUUAUCCAAGUUUCACCAAAAAAUAAUAAAAUUCCCAAACUAUUCUCAGUAGUUUUCCGGCAUCUCUCCAGGCAGCAGAGAGCGCUCGCGGCCCUUCCUGUGCAAAAGCAGCUCCUCUGCCUCCAGAGUUUAUUCACUUCUUUAAAAGAAACACAAAAACACAAGUCCAGGAUUUGCUAAUCCUCCUUUACUCACAAAACCAGAAGGAUUCAAUGUCUUUUCCUGGGAUCUCACGUGUGCUAAACGGAUUCAAGGAGUGGGUGAGGACACAGAUUCUCUUCGGACACCCAUAAAAAAAACAAACCAAAACAAAAAGAACCAAAGGAGAAAACCCAACGCAAAAUACAACAAAACAAGAAGCAGUUGGGGUGAGAAAACCGUGUCGAUCGUAUUCCAAUGGAGUCGCCUUGGGGAUAGACAAAAAUCAGUGGUGGGAAAACACUGGGAGCUUGCAGGAGGAGGGUUUUCCCACUCUUCCACCCCGGGAAGGGCCGCCGGGAACCCCCAGCCCAUGACGGGGCCUCGGGGGGACCGGGCACCCGGGGAGGGUGGGGGGGACUUUGGGGAGCGUUGAAAUGAAUUCGCUUCUGAGCCAGAUACUUCAGGUCGGCGGGAUGAGACCAAGGGGAGCGGGGAGGGAGGAUUAAAUAUUAGCGGGGAGGGGACGGGGGGGAGCCCUUAAAGCAUCUGCCCAGAUGUCAAACUGAAACCGUGAAUACUGUGAGUGCAGCCGAGGUAGAUGGAGGAGAAAAAAAACGUAUUACAGUAGGAAAACAACCCUUGGAAGGAAAAAACAACGAAACAACUUUCGAAGCAGGCGAACGGCGGCGCUUUGCGGGGGGGGGCCCGGGUCUUCGCCAAAUAAACCCCGCGCGGGGCCGGGAGCAGCUUUGGCGGCCGGGGGAGAGGGGAGGGGGCGGCCCCGGCAUCACCGGGCACCGGCGGAGUAUUUGGCCUUGGUGAUCAGGUAGAGGACGAUGUCCUGGUGGCCCCCGAAGGCGGCGAUGUGCAGCGCGCUCCAGCCGUCCCGGUUGGCCAGGCGAAUGUCGGCACCGAACUUGACGAGGAGCUUGACGAGCUCCAGGUUGCCGUCGAUGACGGACUGGUGCAGCGCCGUCUGCCCCUCGGGCCCGAAGGAGUUGACGUUGAAUUCGCAGUUCGUCAUGUUCUGCAGCAGCGACUGCAGCUCCUUCGUGUUCCCGCGCCGCACCGCCUCCUGGAACACGCGCUGGCUCGGCGGCGGCGCCGCGCACGGGGACACCUCGCUCUGGCUCAUGCCGCCGCCUCCCGCCCGCCGCCCCGCAGGGACAGCGCCGCCUCCGCCCGCGCGGGCAUGCGGUGGGGCUGAGGCGGGGCUGCGGUGCUGCUGCGGGCGCUGCUGCUGCUGCUGCUGCUGCUGCUGGUGGUGGUGGUGGUGGUGCCGGCGCGCAGCGCUGGGGCCCCGCCGCUGCUCACCGGCUGCUCCCGUCCCGUCCCGCCGCGCCCGCACCCGCUGCCGCCGCCGGC
Strigops habroptila (Kakapo) is the source of this 3331-nucleotide long non-coding RNA. The record is from Ensembl. Lineage: Eukaryota; Metazoa; Chordata; Aves; Psittaciformes; Psittacidae.